AACGAACGCUGGCGGCAGGCCUAACACAUGCAAGUCGAGCGAUUCUCUUCGGAGAAGAGCGGCGGACGGGUGAGUAACGCGUGGGUAACCUGCCCUGUACACACGGAUAACAUACCGAAAGGUAUGCUAAUACGAGAUAAUAUGCUUUUAUCGCAUGGUAGGAGUAUCAAAGCUCCGGCGGUACAGGAUGGACCCGCGUCUGAUUAGCUAGUUGGUAAGGUAACGGCUUACCAAGGCGACGAUCAGUAGCCGACCUGAGAGGGUGAUCGGCCACAUUGGAACUGAGACACGGUCCAAACUCCUACGGGAGGCAGCAGUGGGGAAUAUUGCACAAUGGGCGAAAGCCUGAUGCAGCAACGCCGCGUGAGCGAUGAAGGCCUUCGGGUCGUAAAGCUCUGUCCUCAAGGAAGAUAAUGACGGUACUUGAGGAGGAAGCCCCGGCUAACUACGUGCCAGCAGCCGCGGUAA
This 468-nucleotide ribosomal RNA is filed under the name uncultured bacterium. RNAcentral's name for it is "partial 16S ribosomal RNA". It matches the Rfam family "Bacterial small subunit ribosomal RNA", at positions 29 to 523 of the family's 1533-position model. The record is from RNAcentral.